Molecule: non-coding RNA, 1096 nt
Organism: Cherax quadricarinatus
Lineage: Eukaryota; Metazoa; Arthropoda; Malacostraca; Decapoda; Parastacidae
Source: RefSeq, a predicted model, not a curated record
CAUACGACGGUAAAGCUGAUAUGUGGUCAUUAGGCGCUGCUCUAUGAGCUGGCUACAUUACGCGAGGCUACCCUUAUGAACAGGUGCACGUCGAAGGAGAGUAUAGUAAGGGGUUCAAUGAGGCUGUAAUAUCUAUGCUAAGUCGGGACCCCACGAAACGACCCAGUGCUGCAGAUCUGCUGAUAAACCCUUUCCUACGAGCGGUGGCCGGGCCCAGGAGCUAGUAACGGCACCACUGGCCGGGCUCAGGAGCUAGCGCCACCACUAUUGGCAGGGCCUCCAGCAUCAUCACCGGUGGUGGAGCCUAGGAGCUAGCAGCAUACCAGUACUUGCCGAUUUGUUUGCGGGAGUCGAGAAUACUCCUGGACCCGCCUCACAUAGACCACUUUCAUCGACAUCACUGAUUUUUGGCCUCUUGGGCCUUAUUAUCUGUACUCCUGAAACUGUGUACUGAGUUUGCCUCUACCACUGCUUCAUCAAAGUCAUUCCACUUUUCAACCACCCUGAGACAAGAAAUAUUUCCUUACUGUCGAAUGAAGGAGGGCCAUUACGAAUGUUUCACCUGUACACUAGUCAAGAAUAUUUCAGUCUUUAAAACAGGGAUAAAAAUAAAUUCUCGGACUAUAUACUCCGAGAGGUAGUCAUUAUAUGCCUAGUUCUUGGGUCCAAGUUUCCUCAUCGAACUCCAGCAGACUCACCUUCAGUUCCAUCCAAGGAGAGUAGGUGAAGAAUUUGACAUCCCUUACAGCAGACACAACCAUUCCACGAUCCCCGAGGUCAGCUCACGUCUGGGCAGAACCGCAGAAGAUAGUCAUGACCUAAAGGGUGAAAAGAUUGAUCAUGAAAUUAAAGAUUAUAUGCUACGCUAGAGUGUAUCAGGAGCCCCAGCAGACAGACUCCGCCAUAUAUCCACUGAAAGUGUUAAGAUCUCGGUCACAUUGGCUUCAUAUUGCUUGACAAAUAUAUGGUAAUCUGAUUUUUGCUACAAACCUUAGUCUUCGAGGAACAUUUAUAAUUUUUUAUAGGCUAUUACGAUAAAAGCGGGGUUCGUAAAUUACAUGUCUUAUAUUAAGAUUAAUAAAUUCGAACACUGUUA